Molecule: ribosomal RNA, 425 nt
Filed under: uncultured bacterium
Lineage: Bacteria
Description: partial 16S ribosomal RNA
Rfam family: Bacterial small subunit ribosomal RNA
Source: RNAcentral
GUGGGGAAUAUUGCACAAUGGGGGAAACCCUGAUGCAGCGACGCCGCGUGGAGGAAGAAGGUCUUCGGAUUGUAAACUCCUGUUGUUGAGGAAGAUAAUGACGGUACUCAACAAGGAAGUGACGGCUAACUACGUGCCAGCAGCCGCGGUAAAACGUAGGUCACAAGCGUUGUCCGGAAUUACUGGGUGUAAAGGGAGCGCAGGCGGGAGAACAAGUUGGAAGUGAAAUCCAUGGGCUCAACCCAUGAACUGCUUUCAAAACUGUUUUUCUUGAGUAGUGCAGAGGUAGGCGGAAUUCCCGGUGUAGCGGUGGAAUGCGUAGAUAUCGGGAGGAACACCAGUGGCGAAGGCGGCCUACUGGGCACCAACUGACGCUGAGGCUCGAAAGUGUGGGUAGCAAACAGGAUUAGAAACCCUUGUAGUCC